UCUUAUCAUGUUUUUAGGAUAUCUGUGCGUACCAACAGAAUUUUAUAUCGAAAACUAUUUAAUCGCAAGUUCAGUAUUCUAUAAACUGACUGUAGUAAACAUUCGGUACAUAGAAAUAUGAAUAAUUUAUACGAAGCCUUAUCGGAACACGAAAAAGUCAGUAUUGUCGAUAAGAAAAUUCUUAUUCUCACGCGUUGUCUUAUCGCGUUAACGACUGGAUAACGAAAAGCGCUUUGAAGGGAAACCGAGCGAGGGAGAGUUUAGAAAAUUUCUCUAUAAGUUCAUCCAACCGGACCGAGCAAGUUUCGAGCAUCUUCGUGCCUCUUUGCCAGCCGAUCGUUAUUGAUGCACAGCUUAUAAAUAUUUCGGCGAACGUUUAGGUGAAACGCGCCUCGGAGGAAACUUUUCCCGUGUUGGAAACUUCGCCCGAGCGAUAGCCGUAAAAAAGAGAAGUUUCGAGUUUCGGAGGUGAAUGCAUAUAUUCCGCACGGGUAUAAUUAUUGGGAAAAAUGCAUACAUAGAUAAAGAGAAAAAACUGGGAAAUUCCCUCAGAGGAAAUUGCUUGAUUAAAGGGAAAAUAAAACGAGAACAAAGAAACUUCACUCGAGAUGGUUAUAAAGCAAUUAAAAGGGAUCUGCAGAGUAGGAAAUGAAAUGAAAUAUGCGAGCGUAAAGGGAUUAAACUUUUGUCGACUAGAAAUCUUUCUUUCUGUAACUGUCAUGAGACAAUUAAAACUUUUUCAUCAUUCGACGAUGCGUACAAAGGGAAACUUUUGAAAAACAAGUUUUCAUUAAAUCAUCCAGAAGAUUAAGAUCUCUCUUAUUAAAUUUGAACAUGAUAUGUGCUUUCGUACGUUCAUUCGACGGACAAUUUAAUUGGAAGCAAACACGGAGCUUCCAUUUGAAUAUUCUCGACCUUUAAUUAAUUCUAACAUAACAAAUCGCAAUUGUAUUUGCGCACAUGCAUAUGCGCCUGUUCUCUGUUAAACGAUUGCAUCUGCUCGUAUAUUUCUCCGUUGGUUGAUAACGAGAUAGUCCAUGCAGAUAAAUCGUUAAUGAGCAACCAGAAGUUCAGAUAAAGUACGCCGUUGUCUAUAGUUGAAUGCCACGUUUGUUACGCUUUAAAAACCGUGCGAAUACCAAGGACAGAGAUUAUCCCCGCGCAUUUUGUCCUCCGCGCUCUCCUUUACUUCCCUCAAUUUCCUUCGCGAAUAAAUUUGCACAUGAAAAAGACAUUUAGCUAAAAAUUAUUUGUAUUUUUAAACCGAAUUAAGUACACGUCGAUUAUAGGAUCAAAUUUGACGAACGAGUUCAGAUAAGUCGAUUUCAAUGAUCCCAGUUGAACACUUCGCAGAAGGCGAGAUUUCAAGGUGGGCAAACGAUUUCCGCUAGAAAUGCGAACGUUUCUCAAAGACUUGUGGACGUUGGAAUCCGUGAAUAAUUCAACGCUAAAAAAAAAAGGUGAAGAUCGAUCUUUGUGUUCUGCUGAACCAGAGAAACUCGACGGGCGUUCAAUCUUCUCGUCAUUUCUCGCGCUGUUACACCCGUGAAUCUUUCAUGAAGGAGCGCCGGGCGCAUUCCUUCGCCGAAAAUGCAAGGAUUUAACAGAACGACUCCGGUACAAACACGAGUUUCGUUUGGACCGUUUUAAGCGGCGAACGUUUUUCGGCGACCAACAGUUAAUGCAUAGACCGAUUGUAAGUGGAUACGCGGGCCAGCAUACGGUACACGUUUCAACAAAUAGUUUCAUUUCUAAAUGCACGGCAAAUUAAAUUACGACCGAGAAUAAUAUCUGCAAUUUCGACGAAAAUGUAUCUUCCACGUUCUCGAGUCAGAUUUAAUUCUAGGCAGUAAACGUACUGUAAAUCGUUUCGUACGCAAUGGUCCACCGAGCCUCGCAUACGCGGAAUAACAAGGGAAACUACUUUGACACGACUAUCGUGGAAAAACAAACACGGGUUCAUCUGCGAAUCAGGUAGAACGAAAAUGUCUGUGUACCGGGCGAAAAGUAAACGAACGCAAUUAUUUAUUAACAUGCGGGACACGCUUUAAUGAAAGAAUUAAUGUAAUCACGCAGAUAUAAAUUACGACUCAACAAAUUGUGUUAUUGGUACGACAAAAUGACACGUAAUAAGAGCACGUCUGUCGCGAAGGGCUGGCAAUAAGAACCGAGACAGCCGUAUGUCGUGUAGUUAAAUUACUGAGUUAUUGGAUAUCGUUCAUCGAUUACCCGUGAAGGUCUAAAACCGUGAACUAUCGUCCCAUUAGUAUGGAACUCCUCGAAGAGAAUUACACGAAAUUUGUACAAAAAUUGUAUUUACAUAAAAGAUGUGAGAAGCUUC
Molecule: long non-coding RNA, 2341 nt
Organism: Ceratina calcarata
Lineage: Eukaryota; Metazoa; Arthropoda; Insecta; Hymenoptera; Apidae
Exons: 3
Source: RefSeq, a predicted model, not a curated record